AAUGAACGCUGGCGGCAGGCCUAACACAUGCAAGUCGAACGAGGUAGCAAUACCUAGUGGCGGACGGGUGAGUAACACGUGGGAACGUACCCUUUGCUACGGAAUAGCCCUGGGAAACUGGGAGUAAUACCGUAUGAGCCCGAGAGGGGAAAGAUUUAUCGGCAAAGGAUCGGCCCGCGUUGGAUUAGGUAGUUGGUGGGGUAAUGGCCUACCAAGCCGACGAUCCAUAGCUGGUUUGAGAGGAUGAUCAGCCACACUGGGACUGAGACACGGCCCAGACUCCUACGGGAGGCAGCAGUGGGGAAUCUUAGACAAUGGGGGAAACCCUGAUCUAGCCAUGCCGCGUGAUCGAUGAAGGCCUUAGGGGUGUAAAGAUCUUUCAGGUGGGAAGAUAAUGACUGUACCACCAGAAGAAGCCCCGGCUAACUCCGUGCCAGCAGCGCGGUAA
Molecule: ribosomal RNA, 448 nt
Filed under: uncultured bacterium
Lineage: Bacteria
Description: bacterial SSU rRNA
Rfam family: Bacterial small subunit ribosomal RNA
Source: RNAcentral